AGUGAACGCUGGCGGUAGGCCUAACACAUGCAAGUCGAACGGCAGCACAGUACUAGCUUGCUCUUACGGGUGGCGAGUGGCGGACGGUUGCUGAAUACAUCGGAAUCUACUUUUUCGUGGGGGCUAACGUAGGGAAACUUACGCUAAUACCGCAUACGACCUACGUGUGAAAGCAGGGGAUCUUCGGACCUUGCGCGAUUGAAUGAGCCGAUGUCGGAUUAGCUAGUUGGCGGGGUAAAGGCCCACCAAGGCGACGAUCCGUAGCUGGUCUGAGAGGAUGAUCAGCCACACUGGAACUGAGACACGGUCCAGACUCCUACGGGAGGCAGCAGUGGGGAAUAUUGGACAAUGGGCGAAAGCCUGAUCCAGCCAUACCGCGUGGGUGAAGAAGGCCUUCGGGUUGUAAAGCACUUUUGUUGGGAAAGAAAAGCAGCAGGUUAAUACCCCGCUGUUCUGACGGUACCAAAAGAAUAAGCACCGGCUAACUUCGUG
Molecule: ribosomal RNA, 492 nt
Filed under: uncultured bacterium
Lineage: Bacteria
Description: partial 16S ribosomal RNA
Rfam family: Bacterial small subunit ribosomal RNA
Source: RNAcentral